GGAUUCAUGAUGAGACACUCCUGUGGCUGAAACUGAUGAGGAGCUUGUGGAAUUCAGCAGGAUUACUCUGAGAUCC
Small nucleolar RNA from Ochotona princeps (American pika), 76 nucleotides. Lineage: Eukaryota; Metazoa; Chordata; Mammalia; Lagomorpha; Ochotonidae. The record is from Ensembl.